GGGGCCGUAGCUCAGCUGGGAGAGCGCGUCGUUCGCAAUGACGAGGUCAGGGGUUCGAUUCCCCUCGGCUCCACCA
This is a transfer RNA of 76 nucleotides. It matches the Rfam family "tRNA". From Rfam's summary of the family: Transfer RNA (tRNA) molecules are approximately 80 nucleotides in length.